Molecule: ribosomal RNA, 488 nt
Filed under: uncultured bacterium
Lineage: Bacteria
Description: bacterial SSU rRNA
Rfam family: Bacterial small subunit ribosomal RNA
Source: RNAcentral
AUGAACGCUAGCGGCAGGCUUAAUACAUGCAAGUCGAGGGGUAGCAAGAUUGUAGCAAUACAAUUGUUGACGACCGGCAAACGGGUGCGGAACACGUACACAACCUUCCUACAAGUGGGGAAUAGCCCAGAGAAAUUUGGAUUAAUACCCCGUAACAUAGCGAUGUGGCAUCACAUUGCUAUUAUAGCUUCGGCGCUUGUUGAUGGGUGUGCGGCUGAUUAGAUAGUUGGCGGGGUAACGGCCCACCAAGUCUACGAUCAGUAGCUGAUGUGAGAGCAUGAUCAGCCACACGGGCACUGAGACACGGGGCCCGACUCCUACGGGAGGCAGCAGUAAGGAAUAUUGGACAAUGGACGCAAGUCUGAUCCAGCCAUGCCGCGUGAAGGAUUAAGGUCCUCUGGAUUGUAAACUUCUUUUAUAAGGGACGAAAAAAGGUCUUUCUAGAUCGUCUGACGGUACCUUAUGAAUAAGCACCGGCUAACUCCGUG